GCCAUGGUGACUCAGACAUCCGCCAAACCCAGGAGCUCCCCUUUUCUCCAGCGUUCUUCUUGUCCAGCAGGGAGGCGUGUGGACUGCUUCUGGGCCUCCACUGCCAGGCCUGAUCGCAGCCCAUGACCUUCGCGGAGGGGUGGGGGCGGGGGGGGAGCAACCAAGGGCCAGGGAUGUUGCCCAGCAAGACCGCGGCCUCACUGCGCCACCGGAGGAACAGCCACCGACGAGGCCCGGCGGACCCAGGCGCCGCCACCCACCCAUGCCCGCGGCGGGCCUGCGGGAGCGCAGGGGCCGAGGCCGUGAAGCCGGGCAGCCAGCCUUGCACCAUUGACAGCCGGGGCACGUCUGCGGAGCCCGGGGGAACAAUCAACGGACUCUAUGUCCCGGGAGCUGGGGACACGCCUGUAAGGCCUUUCUGCCUGCUCAUAGCCACUGGGAGAAAAAUCAAGCGUCUUCCUCUUUGAUAAAUAGAGGAAAGCCGGUGGGAUCAGUGUGCAAUGUUCCAGCCGACUAAAUGGGCUUGCCUUCUGCCGAGAGGCAGUCCUGGAGGACACAACUAAUGUGCAAUCUCCCAGGCAGCUCUUCAUCAGAACAUCCCUUGUCCUUUUGUUUUUGUUUUCGUAUUAAAAGAUGUUUUUGCUUUCCUCUCAGUGUCCGUCCUGUUAUUUUGUAGCUACAACAAUGAAACAGGAACAGUUUAUCAUUCUUUUUUGUCCUUUGUAACCAUGCCUUGUAUUGGGAUGUCACAAAGCCCCAGAUACACCUCAGCGUGCCCUGUGCUUUUGAUGUUUACUUGCUACUCCCCGGGUCACCCAGAGACCCACACUUGAUUCUGCCUUCUGCCCCUCCCAGAUGGUUCUCUCCUGGACAAGGUCCCUCUCCCAGCUUGCAGGGAAAGGGGAUUCACUAAUUUGCUUCUCAAAUUAGAAAAGACCAAACCCAGGUUCUCCAGGUAAGUGAUUCUGGCUUAUACUGGUGACUAAGAUGUUGUAUGGGAGCAUCUCCCCAGGAUCACGUCUCUCAAGGAGAGAGAACGGCAGGCACGUUUCCACAGACAUUUCUAAAACUAUGGCAACUAAGUGAGUUUUACGGAUAAAAUUCUGGUGUAUUCCCAGGCAGCUCAAGUUAUUUAAAUUUUAGUUUUGUUCACAUGUAUGGGCGCACACAGGCCAACUAGGAUUAUGUUACCAGCGCAUUGCCACUGGACAAGUCUGGUGACAGCAACUCAGAUCAACAAACUUAUUUUCUGGAGAGUGACAAAGAAAAAAAAAGGCUCCCCAUACCUUUAAAAUUGUUAUUUUAUACUGUUUAACACCCCCCACAGCCAGGAAUUGGCCAGACUUCCCUGCUUCCUUUUCUAGGAACAGGUAACUAACCACUCUCCCCUCCUCCAAGACUUGGCUAUUUUUAAAAGCUAAAAUUUCUCUUUCCAAAGGGAGGAAAAGGAACGAAUUCCAUUAAUGAAUUACGUACACGGAAUGUGACUUGUCUGGGACAAUUGUAUUUGUAAAUAAAUGGCUUCCUGUUGAUUAUGUACCUUUUACUGAAAAAUGAACUCUAAUGUCUCUGAGCACUUAACAGAGCACAUAUUUCAACUUAUGGUUUACUUUCCACUUGUUCUUUUUUUUUAACUCACUAGAAAGAAAUCGGGUAAAAACUGAGUCAGUCGAGGUGUGGGGGUCGUUAUCCUUCAGCGUCCAUACUGACCUGGGGAAGAGCCACCUCUAAAGUUCUCACGUUUGUCAAAGUGUAAGCAAAGGGGGGUGGCUCCCUGGGAAUGUUAUUGGAACCAAUCUGGAGAGUUUCACUUUUGCCCCUGGGUCUUUGUAAAGAGGACCGCGGCCUCCUUUUGCAGCUUCCAAAGCGAAGCCGGCGCGGAAUCGUCUCGGCGG
Long non-coding RNA from Lynx canadensis (Canada lynx), 1895 nucleotides. Lineage: Eukaryota; Metazoa; Chordata; Mammalia; Carnivora; Felidae. The record is from Ensembl.